AAUUCUAGGAAAAAGUCUAACUAAAUAUGAAACUAAAUAUUGGAACGGAAUAAUAGAAAGCAUUAGACGCUUCUCGUCUAAUCCUCAUGAAAAUUCAAUUGAACGGAACCAGGGGGACGCUCGCGAAUGCUUGGAGAAUGAAACGCGGAACGCAUAUACAUGAUGUUAAAGAAAGGACCUAAGAGUGCGAAAGCUCAUAGCACUCGCUCAGAGGAAUACAAAAUUUUUAAUCGAUAUGCAAGAUUCGUACAAAAAGCAUUUGAGAUAAUCGAACGCUUAUCAUCGAUAACUGAUUCGUUUACAAAUUCAAUUACAUACAUUAUAGAGGGAC
RNAcentral lists this unclassified non-coding RNA (331 nucleotides) under Bombus terrestris (buff-tailed bumblebee). Its description in RNAcentral is "misc RNA ENSBTSG00005035447.1". Lineage: Eukaryota; Metazoa; Arthropoda; Insecta; Hymenoptera; Apidae. The record is from RNAcentral.